RNAcentral lists this ribosomal RNA (233 nucleotides) under uncultured bacterium. Its description in RNAcentral is "partial 16S ribosomal RNA". It matches the Rfam family "Bacterial small subunit ribosomal RNA", at positions 535 to 769 of the family's 1533-position model. The record is from RNAcentral.
CAAGCGUUAUCCGGAUUUAUGGGUUUAAAGGUGCGUAGGCGGACCUGUAAGUCAGUGGUGAAAUCCUGCAGCUUAACUGUAGAACUGCCAUUGAUACUGUUGGUCUUGAGUACAGUUGAGGUAGGCGGAAUGAGUAGUGUAGCGGUGAAAUGCUUAGAUAUUACUCAGAACACCGAUUGCGAAGGCAGCUUACUAAACUGUCACUGACGCUGAUGCACGAAAGCGUGGGGAGC